AAAAUGCGAUAAGUAAUGUGAAUUGCAGAAUUCAGUGAAUCAUCGAAUCUUUGAACGCACAUUGCGCCCGCCAGUAUUCUGGCGGGCAUGCCUGUUCGAGCGUCAUUUCAACCCUCAAGCCCCCGGGUUUGGUGUUGGGGAUCGGGCUGCGGUUCUACCGCGUCCCGGCCCCGAAAUCUAGUGGCGGUCUCGCUGCAGCCUCCAUUGCGUAGUAGCUAACACCUCGCAACUGGAACGCGGCGCGGCCAAGCCGUUAAACCCCCAACUUCUGAAUGUUGACCUCGGAUCAGGUAGGAAUACCCGCUGAACGUAAGC
This 315-nucleotide unclassified non-coding RNA is filed under the name plant metagenome. RNAcentral describes it as "partial contains 5.8S ribosomal RNA, internal transcribed spacer 2, and large subunit ribosomal RNA". The stretch from base 1 to 105 matches the Rfam family "5.8S ribosomal RNA", at positions 50 to 154 of the family's 154-position model. The record is from RNAcentral.